This is a small nuclear RNA of Perognathus longimembris pacificus (Pacific pocket mouse), 106 nucleotides long. NCBI's taxonomy places the organism in Eukaryota, Metazoa, Chordata, Mammalia, Rodentia, Heteromyidae. The record is from RefSeq and is a predicted model, not a curated record.
AUGCUUGGUUCAGCAGCACAUAUGCUAAAAUUGGAAUGACACAUAGAAGAUUAAUAUGGCUCCAGUGCAAGAAUGGCACACACUUUGUGAAGUUCUCUGUAGUCUU